This is a non-coding RNA of Dunckerocampus dactyliophorus (ringed pipefish), 317 nucleotides long. RefSeq annotates it as small Cajal body-specific RNA 2. The record is from RefSeq and is a predicted model, not a curated record. The transcript has a single exon. Lineage: Eukaryota; Metazoa; Chordata; Actinopteri; Syngnathiformes; Syngnathidae.
GUUUCACUGCGUUUGAGAGCAUGGGUGGAUGAGUGUUGUGUGACUGCGGAGUGAGUGUUCUUUUAAGAAAAACCUACACACUGAUCUUAUUUGAUCUGGUCGCAGUUUUGGCUCGACUGUGACCAGAAGUGAUAGGAAAAGAGCUCGCUAGCCUCCGUGGCAAUGAGCAGCAAGGCACGACUUCAACCUUCGCGGCCUCCACGCUUUUAAGUUGUGGUAAGAGGUGAUGAAUUGAUCAGAUAUACUAGUUCGGAGUGUGUUUGGAUUAUUUCCACACUUCACAACGAACAAUGAGUAAAGAGGCGAUUCUGAUCUAA